ACCUUUCGAUAAGUCACAACCUUCAUUUUAAAAUGGACUUUUGUAUUUGUAUUUUGCUUGUGAGUAUGGUCUUGGUUAAAACUUCGCAUUCUAGCAUUUACUUAUAUGAUAUCAUAUAGCAAGAAAGCUAUGAGACCCAAGUCACAAUUUAUUGUAUUCUCAUAGACCCUCAAAAUACUAGAGCUAGACAAAGAUAAACAACACGAUAGAGAAACUUCUGCUUUACAUGUACAUUGACAUUUGCAUGUGCAAAGCUCUCUUUCCUCCUUUCCUUUCUUUUCUUCCUCACCUUUCGAAUCUUUCUCCUAGAUUAAGGAGAUUGUUGUUUUGUUGUUAGUGGUUGCCAUCAUCAUCACAUUGAAAUCAACUUUAGUUAAUACUAGCCUCCUGCACGCGCUCACGGGCGUGCGGAAGGCCCUUUUGUAAUUAAGGCAUUCUACGUGCGACUUAAAUAAUUUAAAUGAUAACAAAAGAGCGGUUGCUCUCUGAUCUAAUUGCAGACACAAUCUGCAGAACCGUCUUCUAUGGGAUUUGAACUUGUGAAGUGUGAGGUGGAGACCUGAAUGUAACAAAUUGGUGUUAAGUGAAUAAUUCCAAACAUAUAAAAUUUAGAUCAUCACACCGAACGCAAACAGAACAAUUAAAUAAACAACUGAAGGCAUACGCAAUCUAAUUAGACAAAUAAGUGAACUUUCCCAUGCCGAAAUCUGAAAGGCCAACAGAAAUAUCUCAUUACAGCACAGAAGACAAAACUUAGGACAAAACUUAAAACUAAUCAAACUUAGGUGAACCAAUUAUAGAGAACAUAACCCUUGUAACCAAUCGGGAAAAGAUGCUUUUAAAUCCCAGAAAAAAAAAUUAAGAGGAGUUUUUUAAAAAACCAUCAUUUCAAUUAUUUUCCAGUCUUACAUUUGGAUUAAACAGAAAAUAUAAGUAAAAAUGCCAACUUUCUAAAAAAACUACAACUAUUUUUACAAAUUUCCAUUACCCAAUGCUGAAAAAUGAGAAUCACGAAGCAAUGAAGAACGGAACACGCGAGAACCAAAAAGUUAAAAACAACACGUAACCAUUUCAAAGACCCAAAAUCCUGCAAGGACAAAAAAAUCCCAUAAAAUCAGUACAUCAGCACUCCCUGCAAAACCCCAAAAUCAGAAAAUUAUAAAAAGAACCCAAAAUCAGUGGCAUGGUCCUCGUUUCUCCAUCAUUCAGUAGCUAAUGACCUAAUGGAAAAGAACCCAAAACAUACAGCUUAAAAUAUGGAAAGUGCUUAUAAAAGCUCAUGAAUAACGUUCAAAGCCUGCAUAGAAAUGGUAUAGCGCAGAUAACAACAAACAAUAAAACUAUGCACAGUAUAACCUAAAUCCGAUAUGUUGCAUUCCCCACACACAGAUUGUUCAAAAUUAAUUUCGUCUCCGUCUUUUUUCAAAUCUGAUAAAAUCCCCAAAACACAAAAAAUAGCAGCUAACUAUUUUUUGAACUCUGUAAACAACGAUAUGCAUCUUAACCCAUUUAACAUAUUCAUAAAAUAACAUCAAACACAUUUAUGCAUGAGAUAAUAUAGAAGUGAAGUCUCACAACUUUCAUAAAAAAUUAUUACUUUGUUAGAGAAAGGCUUGAAAAAAUAUGUAAAUUACUCACCUCUAUUACAAAAAUGUUACAACAGUAGACAAAAAAGGCCAAAAAUACCAAAAGCCGCACCUCCUGAAAUAAAAAACAUAACCAAACGACACAUUCUCAGUAUCUAAACGAUAUCCAGAAAAAAAGAAAUGAACAGACGAAACCCAUGUAAAUAUACAGAACAAACCAAAAAAAAAAAAAAGAACUGAAGCCAGUAAGAAGAUCACAAAUCUGAUAAAGCAAAAGGUAACAUAAUCUAUAUCGAUUUAAUUAUCCAUCCAAAAAGACAUUUGAAUGAAGAACAUUUUUAAGGAUCCAAACAACCAUUAAACUAAACAAUUAAAAGUAAAAACAGCAAAGCAUUCAUUGAAGAAAUAUAUAUAUAUAUAUAUAUUAUAACGUAUUUUGUUCUUUAUACCUAAAAGAAAAACAUUGGCUUUCUUGUAUGCACUGAAGUAUGCAUGUGUCGGAAAUUUACAAUCUAUAGAGACUCAAUCUCAGACUCAAAAAGACAUCUAAAGGAAAAGUAAUAAGAAAAAUAAGUAGUGGUUUUACCUAUACUCCAUGUGUGGACUCCAAUUUUCAAUCACAAUUCAAAAUUCAAGAGGCCUAUAAAUCAACCACAUAGGAAAUGAUCAGUGGAAGAAAAAGAAAAACAACUGAAGCCAAAAUAGCAUCUAACAAAUCAUUUAGAACCAUCACAGAAAACAAUUUUUGCAUAUAAGUAAUUUAAAGGAAUACCAUCAGGUCAUGCAUAUAUACAACGUACCCAAUUAGAUAAGUAGCACAUCAACAAUUGAUGAUCAAAAAGUUAGUCAGCCUCAAUUGCUUGAAUCUAAUUAACUCAAAGAUAAUAAACAGUCCAUUUAAUGCACGGGCUGACUAUCAAUUUUAUAAAGCUAUAAUUCUGUGCAGUUCAAAAACCAAGUGGAAGAAUAGGCAAAAACUAUCUCAUCGCCUGUAAAUGUAAUUAACUAAAUAUUAAACUUCACAGCCACAAAUAAACCUAAAUUCCUCCUAAAACUAUCUCAUUUAAGCUUGAUUUUACUAUAAUCUAUAAGUGUGGUAAAAAAUGGGAGGCCAAACGAUUUGUUAACAAAAAAGGUAGACAUAAAAGUAAAAGGAACAGGGCAGACAUUAGUUGAGGAGAAGCUAAUGUCACCUUGAAUUGACGACAAACAGUUCUUAUCUUCUCGAAUUAACGAAGAUAAGUACCAUUUUUCUUUAAUUCAAGGUAAUAUAAAAAGAAAUUAUACCUGUACAGUGUUCAGAUGUAGCAAUCCUAUGCAAUCGGCCAAAUGAUGUGUGUCCUCUCAAAGAUCUGUAUAUCCAUUACAGACUAAUCUUCAGUCUUGCAGAAAAUGAUAUGUUGACUACAAUUUCCCAUACUACUAAAAAACACAAAUAAUUCUAUCUACAAACCAAAUAAUAUGUGCAACUUUAUGCUACAAUGGUAGAAUAAGAUGGUUGUACAGGACGACACAAAGAUUGAGACUUUUUUUUACUUCUAAAAUUCUACACACUUUCGAGCCCUAAAUUUUCCCGGAAACAAAAAAAAGUGAAAGAAGUCGUACCUGGUUUGAGAGAGUGGGACACCAUCGGCGAGUUUGGUGUAGCAGUGAUGGCGGAGAUCUCUGGUGAGAAAGCUAAUAAGAUGGACAAAAUCAUUGAACAAAAAAAACCUCGCUUUUUAAAAUUAAAGUCAACAAAAAUUUGAACAAAGAAAAGAGAACUCAAACCCGAAACAAAUAAGUCGGAGAACUCGCCAGGAAACCCAAAGUUUCUGCAGGAUUGGCGAUUUCCUGAAAACCAAGCUUUUGUAGGUUUAAAAUUUCUUCCCUAAGGCAACAGAUCCAACAUUCCCAACUUUAGCUAUUUCAGCUACAUAAUAGAAAGAAAAAAAAAUUUAUAUAAUUAACUAAUCUGAUUUAAGAUUAAUCGAAAAGCUUGGAAAUUUCAGCUUUAAAAUUACAUGUCAGGCUGCAAAUCUAAUAAAAAGCGUAGAAUUUUAAAAAUGCUGACCUUAAAUACAGAGGCCUUCGCAGGCUGCAAAGAAGCGUUAGAAACCCGAAAAACCGGAUCUCCUGAAACCAAAAACAAAACCAAAUUAACCAUCAUCACCCAUAAUUCGAAGCCACAAACAUAAUCCCCAAAAUUACAACCCAAAAAUUUAAACAAAAAAACCCAUUUAUAAAUCCAAAUUUACACUCCCAAGUGCAAGACUCUAAGCUCCAACUGUUCUUUCUCAACUUUAGCUAUUUCAGCAACAUAACAUAAAUAAAAAGGUCGUACCCAGUGCACAAGGCUCCCGCUUUACGCAGGGUCUGGGAGAGGUGAAUGUCGGCUAGCCUUACCCCCAUUUUAUGGAGAGGCUGCUCCCAAGUCUCGAACCCGAGACCUACCGCUCAUGGGCGAAGACACUUGCCAUCGCACCAAGUGCGACCUCUAGCAACAUAACAUAAAUAAAAAGAUCGUACCCAGUGCACAAGGCUCCCGCUUUACGCAGGGUCUGGGAGAGGUGAACGUCGGCUAGCCUUACCCCCAUUUUAUGAAGAGGCUGGAACAUAACAUAAAUAAAUAAACAAAAUUAAUUUAACUAUAAUUAACUAAUAUGAUUUAAGAUUAAUCAAAAAACUUGGAAAUCUGCUUGAAUCCAAUCUCAAAAUUGAAAACGAACACUUCACUUUUACAAAAGUUGUACAAAGCAAAAAAAAAAAAACAGACAAAUCAAAGUCUCACAAAGGGCCACAACGACAGCAAAAUUGCAACAGAAAGAGGAAAAAUGUUCAAUCAAACCAUUGGAUAACUCUUCUAAGGCAGCCAAAAAAAAACCCACAAAUUCAAAACCACAAAAAUCCAAUCUAAAACAUCGAUUCACAGACUGAGAUGCACAAAAUGAUAUAUUAACAAAUCCAAAACGAAAUACAAAAAUUAAGAACCAACAAGCAAAAAAAUACUGAUUAUCCCCUGCAUACGUGAGCACACGUUCAAAAAGCCUCUCAAAGGCUGAGAUUCAACUUUCAAACAUAAAGACUUUAAGCCACAAUUGUUCUUUCUUAACUUUAGCUACUUCAGUUACAUAAUCGGAAAAAAAAAAUUAUUUAAUUAUAGUUAACUAAUCUGGGUUAAGAUUAAUAAAAAAGCUUGGAAAUUUCAGAUCUAAAAUCACACCUCAGGCUGCAAGUAGAAUCAAAACCAUGGAAUUUCAAAAUCACUGACCUUAAACACACAGGUCUUCGCAGGCUUCAAAGAAAAGUCACAAACUCGAAAAACCCAAUCUCCUGAAAUCGAAAACAAAACCAAAUUAACCAUCAUCACCUAGAAUCCGAAGCUACAAAACAAAAUUCCCAAAAUCAAAACCAAAAAAUUUGAACAAAAAACUCAUUUAAUAUCCAAAUUUACACUCCCAAGCACAUAACAUUCAAAGCAGACAAUUACCCAAAUCAAAUCGACAGCAGGAGAUGCAAUCUUUUAUGGGCUUCAAAUUUUCUUCAAACCGAGACCAAAUUCGCUAGUUUUCAGCAAGAGAGCGUUGCCGUUUGUAACCCCCGAUGAAAAGAUCCAAACAAAUUUGACUAACAGUAGACAGAGAGAGAGAGAGAUAGAGAGAGAGAGGUGAAAAUUACUCGCUGGUGACGAAGCUAAUGAAUUCGGAGACGCAUUCCUGGACGGUGUUCGACUGAUCGGCACGAGUAGAGACACCAGAUCAGAAAGACAGAAAAAUUAGGGUUUGGGAGAUAAAGAAACUGGGGCAGAGAGAGAGGGAAAGAGAAGCAGAAAAGAGGAUAAUUUUAUGCAUUUUUUUUAGCCGCUUUGAAUUUUUUUUGGCCGACAGGCAUUUGCGUCCGAUUAUUUUUGUCGAAGCCGGUGACACCAAAACCGGCCUCCGGCUUUCGGACCAGGAUUGUCUGCCCCUUCAUUUUCCCUGCCAUGU
RNAcentral lists this long non-coding RNA (5551 nucleotides) under Malus domestica (apple). Its description in RNAcentral is "long non-coding RNA (MDOM_LNC014825)". The record is from RNAcentral. Lineage: Eukaryota; Viridiplantae; Streptophyta; Magnoliopsida; Rosales; Rosaceae.